AAUUUGGUGACUGUUAUUAAAAAAGCAGUCUUAAAAGGGAAUUCGGUGAAAGUCCGAAACAGGCCCGCUGCUGUAAUCUUCAAAAAAGGUUUUAAGAUUAUACCACUAAGUACGUUUUGCUUGGGAAGGUUCUUAAGAUGAAGUAAGUCAGAAGACCUGCCAAAUUUAAA
RNAcentral lists this non-coding RNA (170 nucleotides) under uncultured Apibacter sp. The record is from RNAcentral. Lineage: Bacteria; Pseudomonadati; Bacteroidota; Flavobacteriia; Flavobacteriales; Weeksellaceae.